CUUAUGUGCUGAUGUGCCA
This 19-nucleotide non-coding RNA is filed under the name Arabidopsis thaliana (thale cress). The record is from RNAcentral. Lineage: Eukaryota; Viridiplantae; Streptophyta; Magnoliopsida; Brassicales; Brassicaceae.